This 253-nucleotide ribosomal RNA is filed under the name uncultured bacterium. Its description in RNAcentral is "partial 16S ribosomal RNA". It matches the Rfam family "Bacterial small subunit ribosomal RNA", at positions 524 to 776 of the family's 1533-position model. The record is from RNAcentral.
UACGUAGGGCGCAAGCGUUGUCCGGAAUUAUUGGGCGUAAAGAGCUCGUAGGCGGCCUGUUACGUCUGCUGUGAAAUCCCGGGGCUUAACCCCGGGCGUGCAGUGGAUACGGGCAGGCUGGAGGCAGGCAGGGGAGAACGGAAUUCCCGGUGUAGCGGUGAAAUGCGCAGAUAUCGGGAGGAACACCGGUGGCGAAGGCGGGUCUCUGGGCCGUUACUGACGCUGAGGAGCGAAAGCGUGGGGAGCGAACAGG